UAGGCUCAAUUUUCCUACAUAAUUAAGAGUUUGGAAUUCGGGCAAUAUCAAGAACCACAUCUGUCCUGAAAUCAAUUAUCUCUGUUUGGCACUUUUCUGAUUUUAGAAACACAAGAAAUAAGAAGACCAUUUUGAGAAGAACAGAGAGUAGCCUUAAGAAAAUCCCUGUCGCAAGCACUCUGGGAUUUGGACUCAAAUGCUAAUUAUACAGUCUAUAAUGAUGACUGGAAUAGGAAAUUCGGACAGCAAAAGUGGUCGCUUCUUAGGCUUCCUGCCAGAUUUUGAAAACCACUAUAACUAGUCGUUUCUGCCAAG
RNAcentral lists this long non-coding RNA (315 nucleotides) under Homo sapiens (human). RNAcentral's name for it is "HSALNT0110377". Lineage: Eukaryota; Metazoa; Chordata; Mammalia; Primates; Hominidae. The record is from RNAcentral.